GAUGAACGCUGACAGAAUGCUUAACACAUGCAAGUCUUUGGCGAAGCUGUGCUCGCCCAGCCUAGCCAAGGCGGACGGGUGAGUAACGCGUAAGGAACUUGCCCUGCAGUCAGGGAUAACAGACGGAAACGACUGAUAAGACCUGGUAAAGUCAGGCGGACUCAUGUCCAGCCUGAUGAAAAGAGAUGCUGCAGGAGAGCCUUGCGUCCUAUUAGCUUGUUGGUGGGGUAACGGCCCACCAAGGCGAUGAUAGGUAGCCGGCCUGAGAGGGUGGACGGCCACAAGGGGACUGAGAUACGGCCCUUACUCCUACGGGAGGCAGCAGUGGGGAAUAGUGGACAAUGGGGGCAACCCUUAUCCAGCAAUUCUGUGUGCACGAUGAAGGUUUUCGGAUUGUAAAGUGCUUUCAGCAGGGAAGAAAAAAAUGACGGUACCUGCAGAAGAAGCGACGGCUAAAUACGUG
Molecule: ribosomal RNA, 463 nt
Filed under: uncultured bacterium
Lineage: Bacteria
Description: partial 16S ribosomal RNA
Rfam family: Bacterial small subunit ribosomal RNA
Source: RNAcentral